GGGUUGUUUCAAGGAAUGAAAAGAAAUUAUUGAUGAGUUUAGGUUUGGUCUUAUUCCCACUUUUAACAUUUCAAUUCAUAUUCAGUCAUUUAUGUACAUAACUUUGUUUCAGCAGCAUGUGAAAACUGAUUUGUUAUUUCUUCUUUUCACCAAGGAUUGCUUAUUUUUAGCAAGGGGAGAAGUUAUUCUUCAUUUUUUCAAAGAGCUUUAAUAGUGUCUGUGUAUCUUUCUUUUGAAGGCCUCCAGCUCCCCUCAAACACCUUUGUUUUCUGUUUUGCAUGAUAACCAGAGGAGGCUGUCAAGAAAGAUGUCUGUGAGUAGUCCACCAAAGGGACUGAACAUUUGCAGCAAGGAAAGCAGAGACCUGGGAGGACCAAAUGCAGACAAGCCUUCUGUGAGGAUGAGCAAGCAGUUCUGAGCAAGGAGCAGGGAAAUAAAGGAAAGAGGGACUCUAAGUUGUUGAACUUGGCUGCAGCACUGCAGGAUGCAGAUAUUUCUUUUGUCUGUGAUAAAUAUCACUCUAUUUAGCAGCUUCUGAAUUCCUAGGCUAAAAUGCUGCUUCCACAGGAACUUCUACAGAUGAUUUUGGGUUAGACUGUCAAAUUAAGGACUCAUUCAGAGGUCCUGUCUAAGAAGACCAACAUAUUUUAUAAACAAUAUUCACUUUCCAUAAACAAUUGCUGCAUGCUUUUAUUUCCUUUUGGUUCAGGAAAAAUAAAAAACCUGACAUACUCUUUCUGAGA
This is a long non-coding RNA of Passer domesticus (house sparrow), 743 nucleotides long. RefSeq lists it as uncharacterized. The record is from RefSeq and is a predicted model, not a curated record. NCBI's taxonomy places the organism in Eukaryota, Metazoa, Chordata, Aves, Passeriformes, Passeridae. The transcript has 2 exons.